GGGUUGUGAGGUUAAGCGACUAAGCGUACACGGUGGAUGCCCUGGCAGUCAGAGGCGAUGAAGGACGUGCUAAUCUGCGAAAAGCGUCGGUAAGGUGAUAUGAACCGUUAUAACCGGCGAUGUCCGAAUGGGGAAACCCAGUGCAAUUCGUUGCACUAUCGUUAACUGAAUACAUAGGUUAACGAGGCGAACCGGGGAACUGAAACAUCUAA
Molecule: ribosomal RNA, 212 nt
Filed under: Klebsiella pneumoniae
Lineage: Bacteria; Pseudomonadati; Pseudomonadota; Gammaproteobacteria; Enterobacterales; Enterobacteriaceae
Description: partial 23S ribosomal RNA
Rfam family: Bacterial large subunit ribosomal RNA
Source: RNAcentral